GCUGUCAUCUAUCUUGUGAAGACUCUCCUACCCGGCCCAGGUUAUUGCAGUGAUAAGAAGUACAGGAUCAAAACAACUUAUUCGAGCAACUACUUCCUAGCUGUCAUCUAUCUUGUGAAGACUCUCCUACCCGGCCCAGGUUAUUGCAGUGAUAAGAAGUACAGGAUCAAAACAACUUAUUCGAGUAAUUACUUCCUAGCUGUCAUCUAUUUUGUGAAGACUAUAUAUCCUACCCUAGGUUAUCAGGUUUCAGUUCAAAGAAAUAGCGGAUCAAACCAACUCAUAUUCCAUCUUAACAGUCUCUAAAUCUU
Bolinopsis microptera is the source of this 311-nucleotide long non-coding RNA. RefSeq lists it as uncharacterized. The transcript is spliced from 4 exons. NCBI's taxonomy places the organism in Eukaryota, Metazoa, Ctenophora, Tentaculata, Lobata, Bolinopsidae. The record is from RefSeq and is a predicted model, not a curated record.